UAUGGUGACUAUAGCAGUGGUGUCCACCUCUUCCCAUUCCGAACAGAGAAGUUAAGCCCACUAGCGCCGAUGGUACUGCAUUCGUGGAAGAGUAGGUCGUUGCCAAUU
RNAcentral lists this ribosomal RNA (108 nucleotides) under Bacteroidota bacterium. The record is from RNAcentral. Lineage: Bacteria; Pseudomonadati; Bacteroidota.